UACGUAGGGGGCAAGCGUUGUCCGGAAUUAUUGGGCGUAAAGAGCGUGUAGGCGGUCCGUUAAGUCAGCUGUGAAAGUCAAGGGCUCAACCCUUGAAAGCCGGUUGAUACUGUCGGGCUAGAGUCCGGAAGAGGCGAGUGGAAUUCCCGGUGUAGCGGUGAAAUGUGUAGAGAUCGGGAGGAACACCGGUGGCGAAGGCGGGUCUCUGGGCAUCUCCUGACGCUGAGGCGCGAAAGCGUGGGGAGCAAACGGG
This 253-nucleotide ribosomal RNA is filed under the name uncultured bacterium. RNAcentral describes it as "partial 16S ribosomal RNA". It matches the Rfam family "Bacterial small subunit ribosomal RNA", at positions 524 to 776 of the family's 1533-position model. The record is from RNAcentral.